RNAcentral lists this long non-coding RNA (455 nucleotides) under Equus asinus (donkey). Its description in RNAcentral is "lncRNA (ENSEASG00005033805.1)". The record is from RNAcentral. Lineage: Eukaryota; Metazoa; Chordata; Mammalia; Perissodactyla; Equidae.
CAUUGCACAGGUUCGCACUUAAGUAUCUCUGGUGAGAUGCCCCACGGACAGCUUUACGCAGCACACUAGGAGGUGGGCUUCUUGAAGAUCCAUUACCAUGGCUUACUCGCAGAGUCCUUUCAGCAAAAACAUGGAAACUGCAGGAAUUAUCUAAAAUCGUCCAGUUAUCAUAAUCACAGGGGAAAUACGGCUGAAUUCCAGGAUCUGAGAACACUCCUGUUUGCAGGCAAUGUUCUCCCCGGAAGGGCCAUAAGAGGAAUGGGCAGAACAUCCUGUUUGCAAGCCAGCUCAGCCGCAACUCAGCUCCAUGAAAUGUCCUGUAUGCAAGCACAUUCAUGUUCUUAGGCCAGAUCUCCUUCAAUGUUAUAUGUCUAUUAUAUCAAAAUUUUAAAUAAACGAAUCCAAGUGUAUACUUUAAAUAUGUGCUGUGUUCUAUAUCAAUACAGAUGUUAUUA